This 302-nucleotide ribosomal RNA is filed under the name uncultured bacterium. RNAcentral describes it as "bacterial SSU rRNA". It matches the Rfam family "Bacterial small subunit ribosomal RNA", at positions 30 to 333 of the family's 1533-position model. The record is from RNAcentral.
AUUGAACGCUGGCGGCGUGCCUAACACAUGCAAGUCGAGCGGUAACAGGUGUAGCAAUACAUGCUGACGAGCGGCGAACGGGUGAGUAAUGCUUCGGAAUCUACCCAAUGGUGGGAUAAUCAGCCGAAAGGUUGGCUAAUACCGCAUACGUCCCACGGGAGAAAGCAGGGGAUCGCAAGACCUUGCGCCAAUGGAUGAGCCGAAGUCGGAUUAGCUAGNGGUAGGGUAACGGCCUACCAAGGCGACGAUCCGUAGCUGGUCUGAGAGGACGACCAGCCACACUGGGACUGAGACACGGCCCA